CUGUUCCGGUUCCCAUUCAGCGGUGGCUUAUUUAUCGAGAAGAACAUUGAUCUUUUUGGGCUUCGACGCAGCAAGGGAGGGAGAAAGAGAGAUAGGGUGCGAGGGUUUCCGCGAUCUUCCCUGAGAUGGCGACGAAAAUUAAAUCUGCGGCAGCUGGAGGUUGGUUCGUCAGUCUCUUCCAAGACUUGAGCAACUUGGAGGCUACAAAACUUUCACUAGGUCCCCUUGUGGAUCUUCUUUCUAUUUGGGAACUUCACAGCCAAUGAAUUCGUCCCAUGGAAGCCGAGCUCUCCAUGCAAGUCGAGCCUUAUCUGAAUCCACCAAAGUUGUUUCAAACCGUCCAUUAUCACCACAUCUGCCUCUGAAGAAGCCACAGCUGAGUGCAACAUAUUCAAUUUCGCAUCGUAUAUUUGGAGCUGCUGUGGCAUCCUCUAUCCUGUUAAUUCCUGCUGCUAUGAAGUUUAGCCUUUUGUAUGAUGUAUGAAAGCCAAUUUCUGAAGUUGCUUCUGAGAGAGCUUUUUCAAAAUUUGUUGAAAACAAGUAUCUGGAUCUGUUUGCAGAUGACUGACCCAGAAUAAUGGCAUUUGGACUGGCAUGAGUUACUUGUUUUAUUUGCAAAUAACCAUCCAGAAUAAGUAGGAACCUGCUGCUAAAAAUUUCGUUCUUCUAACUAUGUUGGCAUUGUGGUGGUUAUGUUUUUCA
Molecule: non-coding RNA, 702 nt
Organism: Phoenix dactylifera (date palm)
Lineage: Eukaryota; Viridiplantae; Streptophyta; Magnoliopsida; Arecales; Arecaceae
Source: RefSeq, a predicted model, not a curated record